GACGAACGCUGGCGGCGUGCUUAACACAUGCAAGUCGAACGUGAUUUUUGUAGAAAUUCUUUCGGGAAUGGAAAUGAAAUGAAAGUGGCGAACGGGUGAGUAACACGUGAGCAACCUACCUUACACAGGGGGAUAGCCGUUGGAAACGACGAUUAAUACCGCAUGAGACCACAGAAUCGCAUGAUAUAGGGGUCAAAGAUUUAUCGGUGUAAGAAGGGCUCGCGUCUGAUUAGCUAGUUGGAAGGGUAAAGGCCUACCAAGGCGACGAUCAGUAGCCGGUCUGAGAGGAUGAACGGCCACAUUGGAACUGGGACACGGUCCAAACUCCUACGGGAGGCAGCAGUGGGGAAUAUUGCACAAUGGGGGGAACCCUGAUGCAGCGACGCCGCGUGAGCGAAGAAGGUUUUCGAAUCGUAAAGCUCUGUCCUAUGAGAAGAUAAUGACGGUAUCAUAGGAGGAAGCCCCGGCUAAAUACGUGCCAGCAGCCGCGGUAAUACGUAUGGGGCGAGCGUUGUCCGGAAUUAUUGGGCGUAAAGGGUACGUAGGCGGUUUUUUAAGUCAGGUGUGAAAGCGUGAGGCUUAACCUCAUUAAGCACUUGAAACUGGAAGACUUGAGUGAAGGAGAGGAAAGUGGAAUUCCUAGUGUAGCGGUGAAAUGCGUAGAUAUUAGGAGGAAUACCGGUGGCGAAGGCGACUUUCUGGACUUUUACUGACGCUCAGGUACGAAAGCGUGGGGAGCAAACAGG
This 746-nucleotide ribosomal RNA is filed under the name uncultured Parvimonas sp. Its description in RNAcentral is "bacterial SSU rRNA". It matches the Rfam family "Bacterial small subunit ribosomal RNA", at positions 28 to 776 of the family's 1533-position model. The record is from RNAcentral. Lineage: Bacteria; Bacillati; Bacillota; Tissierellia; Tissierellales; Peptoniphilaceae.